CAACUCCUGUGCUUUCUCCUUAGUCAAAACACCCCAUCUAAUCUGCAGUUACCGAGCACCCCUCCUCUUCCUCUUAACCCAGAGACCGACGUCCAUCACUAGGAGUCUAUGAAAAGUCGAAAGGGACUCUCCCGGGAUAAGCUUGCAGUCCUUGCACAUACCCCUAUCGCUCCUUCUGAGGAGGAGGUAAUCAAUCUGAGUCCU
This 204-nucleotide long non-coding RNA is filed under the name Nicotiana benthamiana. Its description in RNAcentral is "long non-coding RNA (NBEN_LNC000515)". Lineage: Eukaryota; Viridiplantae; Streptophyta; Magnoliopsida; Solanales; Solanaceae. The record is from RNAcentral.